RNAcentral lists this long non-coding RNA (1234 nucleotides) under Homo sapiens (human). RNAcentral's name for it is "uncharacterized LOC105379230, transcript variant 1 (LOC105379230)". The record is from RNAcentral. Lineage: Eukaryota; Metazoa; Chordata; Mammalia; Primates; Hominidae.
AGCGUGUACACACUGCAGUCUGCUGUACUGGAAAUGACUUAUUUAUUCUACGUUCAUUCACAGCUUCUGUUUAUGGCAUAAUACCUUCUGAGAGUAGGCCAUUAUGACAACAAUGCCUCUGUUUCCUCCAGAUUCUUGGCUGUCACUAUCCUGACCUACCACCUGUGUCACAUCCCAUUAGGUUCUGUGGAUGAGGCAUGGUGCUUGGCACAGACUGACACAAGUUUGGGCAAACUUGGCAGAGCAGCCUAACCCAAAGCGAAAAACAGAAAUGAACCAAGAUACAACCUCUGUGGAAAACCCUACUGAACAAAAGCAACUCUGUGGAGUGUCCUCUCAGCUGCAAAUUGAGACAGAAUUGUGGGGCAAGCUUGGCCACUGAUGCAGAUUCUGCAGCUUGCUACACAGAAAGCCAGAGACCGAGAGCCAAUGACUGAGACUAUGAGUAUUGCCAAGGAAGAAGGCUUUAAUCGGGUGCUGCAGCUGAAAAGAUGAGAGCUCAGCCUCAAAUCCAUCUCCCUGACCAACUAAAGCUAAGGAUUUAUAUAGCAGGGAAGAAGACAGGAACUAGGAAGGGGCAAGGAAGCGAUCCUGAUGAAUGAAGGGUCAGGCAUUUCAUUGUCUGGAUGUGGCGAUCUGCUCACACUGGUCACACCUGGGACUUCCAACAUGAAUGCUUUUGUCACGGAUGCUGCGCUGCUGCUGUUUCUGGUUCUUACUCUGCUUACACCAAGGAGACUGAUGUCCCUGCUAUAACCCCACUUCCGAUGCAGACAGCAAUUCCAAUGCAUUGCAGCUUUCAGGAUUUUCUCACUGUGUUUUUGCCUCUCCUUUUCUUUAAGACAUGAGCAUUUGUCUACGGGGAUGGCCUGAAGUGUAGUCUCCAUUACCCAGAGUCAUCUCACUCUCUGACCUUGACUCAUGAUCUGAGAACAAGUGCUCCCCUGCUUGUCUUCCUGAGGGGCAUCUGUCCCUCUUGCAAACAGAUUUCCUUUGGGCUCUGUCAUUUAGAAAUGCCCUUAUUUAUCUGAAUUAUAGUUCCAGUUCAGAACAUUUACAAAGGAACAGAUUGCUCCCAAUUUUAAAGCAGGUAAAUUCUAAAAGUUGGCAAGCCAGUCAUUUAGAAUUUGAGCCUCAUAUUCCAUAGGUAUGAAAUUAUACAUAAUGAAAAAGUUCCCAGGGCAGCCCACAAAAAGCCUACUUAUCCAAAAUAAAGCUAACCUGAGUUAAUUCA